GAUGAACGCUGGCGGCGUGCUUAACACAUUCAAGUCGAACGAUGAAGCCCAGCUUGCUGGGUUGAUUAGUGGCGAACGGGUGAGUAACACGUGAGUAACCUGCCCUUAGCUCUGGGAUAAGCCUGGGAAACUGGGUCUAAUACCGGAUAGGAGCGCCUACCGCAUGGUGGGUGUUGGAAAGAUUUAUCGGUUUUGGAUGGACUCGCGGCCUAUCAGCUUGUUGGUGAGGUAAUGGCUCACCAAGGCGACGACGGGUAGCCGGCCUGAGAGGGUGACCGGCCACACUGGGACUGAGACACGGCCCAGACUCCUACGGGAGGCAGCAGUGGGGAAUAUUGCACAAUGGGCGAAAGCCUGAUGCAGCGACGCCGCGUGAGGGAUGACGGCCUUCGGGUUGUAAACCUCUUUCAGUAGGGAAGAAGCGAAAGUGACGGUACCUGCAGAAGAAGCACCGGCUAACUACGUG
RNAcentral lists this ribosomal RNA (466 nucleotides) under uncultured bacterium. Its description in RNAcentral is "partial 16S ribosomal RNA". It matches the Rfam family "Bacterial small subunit ribosomal RNA", at positions 28 to 507 of the family's 1533-position model. The record is from RNAcentral.